AUGUGGUUCCACUGCCCGCCGCUCACCCAGUCAGUGUAGAAGCCGCCGUACAGCCGGUGCAGGCAGUUGUCGGCGUCGAUGAGGAGGCGCAGCGGGGUCUGCGGGGGCCGCUGCCGCCCCCCCCCCCACCAGGCUGCCCCGCGCCAGCUUCUGCAGCUCGACGGGCACCACGGCGCUGGGGCAGUGCUUCUCGAUGUAGUCCUGGAAGCCCUGCACUCCCAUGAAGCUUGCAGACUCUUGGUGUGGAUUGUGUAAAAACAACAACACUUCUGCUGGGACACUUGUCCAGGUUGACUCACCUCCAUCCUUAGUAUGUGAGUUCAGAAAUGCUCACAGAUCUGCCAGUGUGCUCCUACAGACCCCACAGCCUAUACAGAACAGCUGAGCAGGUGUCAGAAUCCCCCAGACCGUACGCAUUUGGGAACCUGGGCUAGAGAGGGUAAGAAAGAUAUUCUGUUGCUGCAGCCCCCCAGUCCUGCUAGCUUUUUUGUCUGUUUAAUCUGUUACACAUGAUUAACUCCUCUGUGUUUCUGCCUGGCAGAAUCCAUGACUAAAAAUAUCCUGUGAGUAUACGGUGCGUGCUGCAACACUGGCAGAAAGUAAAUAAGACCAUAGUCCUCAUAAUCACUGUUUUUGCUAAGAACUACUGCUCCCAGCAGACUGGCUAUUUUAGGCUGUAAAUGGAAAGCUGAAAAUGAGAUUUUCUUUCCCUGCCAGUUCUUCUCCUGGGAAUUCUACUGCUUUCUGCUCUGCACCUACUCUGGGUGUUGAUGGCAGCAUGCUGCUAACACUAGUCUCAUAGGGGAUGGAUCACUGGAGCUCGUUCUGAGGGAUACAUAGGAACAUAGGAAAUAAUUUCCACUGGUAUCAUCAUAUCAUUUGGAUGAAGUGUUUGAUCAAAAGUGGACAGGUAUAUUUUGAUUUAUUUCAUGAGUCAGGUGGCAGUUCACUUAUAUUCAGUCAGAAAGGUAUUCUUUAGCUCUCUGCACUUCCUGUUCUAAUACUGGUAAAUGUAUUUGCCUCUCUCUUAGUUUUGCAGACCACCUUUUAACCUCUUAUUUGGUGAUCUAAACACAAACACUCUUGAUUUGUAGUCCCAUUGAUACCAGCGAUGCCUGGCCUUGUCUCCAUGAUAUAGCACCUAGAUCAAGCAUAUCAUAUAGAUCUAAUGAAAGAUCUUUGCACGGUGUGCAAAUCUGAGGAGCACUAAUUAUCAUUCUUAGACUUCAUGCAUUAUGCAUCUUCUGCUGGAAAAAGCUUUGUGUUUUCAGGAAUUCAAAAUAUUAGGCUUUGCUACAGCAACAUGCAAAUCUAAGAACUUGAGAACAAAUCAUAAUCUUUAGCAUUAGCUGCAUCUUUCUGAUGGCUCAAACACUGUUUAGAAGGAUUUUCUAAGAAGGAUUUUCCAGGAAACACCCUAGCUAUUUCGUGGCAUGGACACUGCUGUUGUGUCUGGUCUGUAUAUCCCCAUUGGAAUACCACUCAAGAGCAUCCUUUGAGUUGCUGAGUAGCUGCUGAUUUCUUUUAAUCACCUGUAGUACUACUGUGGAGUGGUCUGUGUAUAUAAAAAAAAUUAACUCUUAACUUCAGAAAAACAUCAGUCAAACUAUUUUCUGCACUGAGGAGAAGGAGUGGGUUUUUCUGGGAGCAAACCUACAGAAUGACCUCAGUCAGCAAGGGUCAUCCCUGGCACGAAGCGGAUGAAGGAAUUUUAGAUGACAUGAGAAAAAAAAAAAAAAAAAAAACAAACAAAAAACAAAACAAAAAAACACAUCAGGAAACAGAAGGUUUUAAAGGAUAAAUAGAAAAACUGCUUUGCAUUGUGCCAAGACAUCACAUGUGAUAAUCAGACAUCAGUAAUUGUCAUAAUUAUGAUCUGUUCUCAUGGUAUUCCCUUUUGCUUUGUCAUUUACAGUUAUCAUGUGCUUAUCUUCGAGCAGUCUGAUACUGUUCACUGCCUGGUUGGUUAGUCCUUAAAAAUAUUAUUAGCUUUUUAGCAUUUGGAAGGUUGGAAAACUAUUAUCUAAGGAAGUGUUUGGAGCACAUCACAAAUGGCAAGUGACUGAACAACUCACUCUUGAUCUACUGUUUUUGAAAAGGCCCUGUCCCUCUGCAUUUCCUUACACAACACAAGCUGCAGCUGCCUUUUCUAACGCUGCUGCUUCUCUGCUUUUUGUGGCAGGCCCUUAAACAUCUGGUUCAGGCAUUGCCUUCACCCUCAUCCUUUUCUAGUCCUUUCUCUGAAACAGUGCAACACUUACCUCCUGCUUGCUGCCCACCUUCUUGCUCUAUUGUCAGCUUCCUCAUCUAGAAGGAGGGUCUUAGUUACAGUCAUGUCACUCGUUCUUCCUUUUGUGCAGCACUUGACACAGGAGAGGACACCACCUUUUUCCUCCCAGGGAUGCUCAAGGCACCUUCCACAUUCCAGGUCCUUGCCUUCCAUGCUGCAGACUCACCUCUUUGCCUUCUUCCUUUGCAGCCUCAGUUGGAGGAAAGAGAAGUGGGGAACAAUGUCCCUGUUGUUGUCAGUUUUGUCAGUUGCUAUUGAAGUAGAGAGUCACAAAAGAAAACAGGAAAUAGUUCAUUUGCUGGGAAACAAACAAAAAAAAUACCAAAUGCUUGUUCUUACUGUUCAAAAUUAUAACAGAAAAAGGGCCGAAUUGGAGACAAGCAGCAAAAUCAGAAUCUACCAAAUGAAUGAGGAGUGUCAUUUUCAUAGAAAUAUCAAACAUCAAAGAACAUUUCUGGUGUUAAAAUGUAAACAACAGGUUGAGGCUUUGGAAAAAUCAAGCAGUGAAACUGUUACAGUCAAUAUGGUAGGAAUAAAAUAAUGUAAUAUUUCAUUAAGGGAUUUCCAAGAGAGGUGGAAGUGUGCAGUUUGUUACAAAUGCACACAAUGCAGUUGCCUUUCAAUUUACUGUUUUCUCAGCCAAUAUAAAAAGUCUCUUAAAUAGAAAGAUUUAGGUUUUGUUUUGGUUGUUUUUUUUUUUUUCCCAAGCUAGGAGACACCAAUUUGCGACAUUGAGAUGUAAUUAAAUAGCUUGACAUAUUGCUUUAGGCUCCUUCAGUUCUUUCAAAGAUUUCAUAUCACUCAUCUUUUGCCUGGACUGUAAACUGUAAUUUUACUUACAUUAUAUGAGUAAUGAAUUCAUGUCUAUGAAAUAGGAGAUACUCAGCUGAGUACACUUUGAAGGUACGUCUUAAACUGACCUUCAGACUGAGCACCCAGAAACUGUGUCAUCCAGAACCUAUACCCACACAAGCUUUCCAUCCCACACAAAUAGUAGCCAGCAGCAUUCUGAUGUUCAAUAAAGUCUGCAAUUCUAAUAAUUACUGAAACUUUUCAAAGUUGUGCUUAAAUAGAGGCAAUUAUAUAUCCAUACCCGUAUUUGCAGUGUUCUUAUGGUGUCUUAUGGCUUGUGUUGGAAGGGUGCCUUUAAUGUUCAUUCAUUUCCAACCCCUCUGCUGUGGGCUGGGACAUCUCCCACUAGAUCAGAUUUCCUGAUGACCCAUCCAGUCUGGUCUUGAAUGCCUUCAGUGAUGGGGCAUCCACAACUUCUCUGGGCAAUCUGUGCCAGUGCCUCACCAUCUGAGGAAAGAAUUUCUUCCUAACAUCUAACACAAAUCUCCUGUCAUUUAGUUUAAAGCAAUUGCCCUUUGUUCUACCACUAUCUGCUUUGGUAAAAAGUUGGUCUCCAUCUAGUUUAUAGCCCUCUUUAAGUACUGGAAGGCCACAACAAGGUCUUCCUGGAGCCUCCUCCAAGCAAAACAAGCCCAACUCCCUCAACCUUUCUUCAUAGUAGAAGUGCUCCAGUCCUGUGAGCUUCUUAGCAGCACUCCUCUGGACUUGCUUACCCUACAGCUCCACAUCUGUCUUGUGCUGGGCGCCCCAGACCUGGACACAGCCAGAUGGGGAAGCACUGGUCAGCACUACAAAUUCCCAAGGAUGCCCAAAGCAUUGGUAAUUGUCUGCCUUCAGGGAUAUCUGUCUAUUACUCAGGUUUUCCCCAGUUGCAGACUUUCGCUCCUCACAUUACUGUGAACAGUCCUCUCGUCUUCAGUCUGCACUUAUUCAUGACUAAUUCAUACCCGCAUGAUCACAGGCUAACAUUAACCUUUAACUCCUGCAGCUCUUCCUGCUUGAUAUUCACCCCUUAGGGUAUUUAUAAAUAGUUACAGUCUCAUGCUUAAUUUGCCGUGCUAAAAAAGAUGUACUGAUGUUUAUCAGCAACAGAAUCCUUCUGCAGAAUCAUAAGUGCCUUCCUUCAUCUUGAAGAUUAGCUCCAAACAGGCCCCUUGCUUUGCAAAAACAGCAUUCCCAUUCAGAUGCAGAAAUUGAUCCCAUUUUGAUCUCCUCAGUGUCGCCAUGGCGGCGUGAAUCAACAUGGCGCCCGGCCCCUCACACCUGGGUGAGGCCUGGUGGCACCGCGCUGCUCCCGCCAAGCAUUCCACCUCCACUGAGGAGAUGAGGUGGCAGCCUCUGAAGCACACAGAACUGGUCCCAGCUGAUCCUGAAGUGGUUGAGAGCAGCCCUGAGGCACGGUGCAUGCCUGCUGACAGCACCGGGCUGCUGAGGUUGACCCAGCCUCAGCUGAGAGUCAGAUGCACACUGUGUGAACAGGCCCUUGGCAGAGGGGAAUUAUUUUCUUUCCCAAUUGGUGCCUCCUUCUUUGUUAACAAAUACUUGGAGGGAAAAAAAAAAGAAAAAGAAAAAAAAAAGUGUUAUCCUGCCCCAUAGAAGGUGUCUAUCAAAGAGCUGCAGCUUUGGGAGAACUUCCUUUGGUGAAGACUACACUGUGUCACCAGGUGCAUCUUCCCCACAGGCCACACAUUGCUCGUCACCUUGUCCUUCCCUUCCCUCAGUUCCCCCUCUCCCAGCACCCACCCCUCACUGACACAUGGCAUUGCUGCCAUGAGAGGCUCCCUCACAGAGCACAGGCUGCUCCACAAGGCAGCACGGUACUGUCCUUCUCCAUCCACACCACCUUGGUGGGCACUUUUCCCAGGCAAAACCUUCCCUUGUGCUGAGCUGCACCAUCUGGAGGAAACAUUUCUACAAAAUACCUACUGAUCCAUUACAGAGCGAUGCUCUUCUUCCAUUUUUGCUGCUUUUGUGUUCUGCAAUACAAUCCCAUGGGUUGGACUCAAGAAGUGCCUGGACCUGGUGCUUCACAGGGUAGCAAACAGCAAGGUGAAGAUGUUCCUGAAAAG
This is a long non-coding RNA of Lagopus leucura (white-tailed ptarmigan), 5211 nucleotides long. RefSeq lists it as uncharacterized. The record is from RefSeq and is a predicted model, not a curated record. The transcript has 4 exons. Lineage: Eukaryota; Metazoa; Chordata; Aves; Galliformes; Phasianidae.